Molecule: unclassified non-coding RNA, 348 nt
Filed under: soil metagenome
Description: partial contains 5.8S ribosomal RNA, internal transcribed spacer 2, and large subunit ribosomal RNA
Rfam family: 5.8S ribosomal RNA (bases 1-120)
Source: RNAcentral
GAUGAAGAACGCAGCGAAAUGCGAUAAGUAAUGUGAAUUGCAGAAUUCAGUGAAUCAUCGAGUCUUUGAACGCACAUUGCGCCCCCUGGUAUUCCGGGAGGCAUGCCUGUCCGAGCGUCAUUGCUGCCCUCAAGCACGGCUUGUGUGUUGGGCCCCGCCCCCCGGCUCCCGGGGGGCGGGCCCGAAAGGCAGCGGCGGCACCGCGUCCGGUCCUCGAGCGUAUGGGGCUUCGUCACCCGCUCCGUAGGCCCGGCCGGCGCCCGCCGGCGACCCCCCUCAAUCUUUUCAGGUUGACCUCGGAUCAGGUAGGGAUACCCGCUGAACUUAAGCAUAUCAAUAAGCGGAGGA